This 274-nucleotide ribosomal RNA is filed under the name uncultured bacterium. RNAcentral describes it as "partial 16S ribosomal RNA". It matches the Rfam family "Bacterial small subunit ribosomal RNA", at positions 523 to 796 of the family's 1533-position model. The record is from RNAcentral.
CUACGGAGGAUCCAAGCGUUAUUCGGGAUCACUGGGCGUAAAGAGUACGUAGGCGGUUUGGUAAGUCAGGUGUGAAAUCCCGAAGCUCAACUUCGGAACUGCAUCCGAUACUGCCAGACUAGAGUAAUGGAGAGGCAGGUGGAAUUCUCGGUGUAGCAGUGAAAUGCGUGGAUAUCGAGAGGAAGACCAAUGGCGAAGGCAGCCUGCUGGACAUUUACUGACGCUGAGGUACGAAGGCUAGGGGAGCGAAAGGGAUUAGAAACCCGAGUAGUCC